RNAcentral lists this long non-coding RNA (252 nucleotides) under Vigna radiata. RNAcentral's name for it is "long non-coding RNA (VRAD_LNC015057)". Lineage: Eukaryota; Viridiplantae; Streptophyta; Magnoliopsida; Fabales; Fabaceae. The record is from RNAcentral.
GAAUUUUUCUGGUUGUUUUGCAGGUGAGGGUUUGGGUGCAUUGCAUUCUCCCUUCACACACACACUUUAUGCAUAUCAUGAGUGGGGCCCUAUACCCGGGUCUGAGCGAAGUUUAGAAUUAGAGGGGUUGUGUAGCGGUGCCACUUGGGCCAUACUGCCUGUUUAGCUAUCGUGAGAACCUCAGCUAGAGUCUGUUCUCUUCAUUUGUAUUUUCACACCUAGUUGAUUACUCGACUUUUGUGGAGAUGCUGU